This 99-nucleotide transfer RNA is filed under the name Nitrospirota bacterium. RNAcentral's name for it is "Nitrospirae bacterium tRNA-Sec". It matches the Rfam family "Selenocysteine transfer RNA". The record is from RNAcentral. RNAcentral also lists the same sequence under 1 other name. Lineage: Bacteria; Pseudomonadati; Nitrospirota.
GGGAGCGUAUAAGGUUCUGGUGUCCUUCUCGGUCUUCAAAACCGUUGUUGCCUGGCCAAAACCGGGCAGGGUGGGUUCGAUUCCCACACGCUCCCGCCA